This 502-nucleotide ribosomal RNA is filed under the name uncultured bacterium. Its description in RNAcentral is "partial 16S ribosomal RNA". It matches the Rfam family "Bacterial small subunit ribosomal RNA", at positions 30 to 524 of the family's 1533-position model. The record is from RNAcentral.
AUUGAACGCUGGCGGCAGGCUUAACACAUGCAAGUCGAGCGGAGCGAGGGUGCUUGCACCUUAGCUUAGCGGCGGACGGGUGAGUAAUGCUUAGGAAUCUGCCUAUUAGUGGGGGACAACAUUCCGAAAGGAAUGCUAAUACCGCAUACGCCCUACGGGGGAAAGCAGGGGAUCUUCGGACCUUGCGCUAAUAGAUGAGCAUAAGUCGGAUUAGCUAGUUGGUGGGGUAAAGGCCUACCAAGGCGACGAUCUGUAGCGGGUCUGAGAGGAUGAUCCGCCACACUGGGACUGAGACACGGCCCAGACUCCUACGGGAGGCAGCAGUGGGGAAUAUUGGACAAUGGGCGGAAGCCUGAUCCAGCCAUGCCGCGUGUGUGAAGAAGGCCUUUUGGUUGUAAAGCACUUUAAGCGAGGAGGAGGCUACUUAGAUUAAUACUCUGGGAUAGUGGACGUUACUCGCAGAAUAAGCACCGGCUAACUCUGUGCCAGCAGCCGCCGCAGU